AGUGAACGCUGGCGGUAGGCCUAACACAUGCAGGUCGAACGGCAGCACAGUAAGAGCUUGCUCUUACGGGUGGCGAGUGGCGGACGGGUGAGGAAUACAUCGGAAUCUACUUUUUCGUGGGUGAUAACGUAGGGAAACUUACGCUAAUACCGCAUACGAUCUACGGGUGAAAGCAGGGGAUCUUCGGACCUUGCGCGAUUGAAUGAGCCGAUGUCGGAUUAGCUAGUUGGCGGGGUAAAGGCCCACCAAGGCGACGAUCCGUAGCUGGUCUGAGAGGAUGAUCGGCCACACUGGAACUGAGACACGGUCCAGACUCCUACGGGAGGCAGCAGUGGGGAAUAUUGGACAAUGGGCGCAAGCCUGAUCCAGCCAUACCGCGUGGGUGAAGAAGGCCUUCGGGUUGUAAAGCCCUUUUGUUGGGAAAGAAAAGCAGCAGGUUAAUACCCCGCUGUUCUGACGGUACCCAAAGAAUAAGCACCGGCUAACUUCGUG
Molecule: ribosomal RNA, 492 nt
Filed under: uncultured bacterium
Lineage: Bacteria
Description: partial 16S ribosomal RNA
Rfam family: Bacterial small subunit ribosomal RNA
Source: RNAcentral